GACGAACCGUGCGAACGUUGUUCGGAAUCACUGGGCUUAAAGGGCGCGUAGGCGGGUGUGCAAGUCUGUGGUGAAAGCCUCCAGCUUAACUGGAGAAGUGCCAUGGAUACUGCACAUCUUGAGGAGGGUAGGGGCAUCUGGAACGGUCGGUGGAGCGGUGAAAUGCGUUGAUAUCGACCGGAACUCCAGUGGCGAAGGCGAGGUGCUGGACCCUUUCUGACGCUGAGGCGCGAAAGCCAGGGGAGCAAACGGG
This 253-nucleotide ribosomal RNA is filed under the name uncultured bacterium. RNAcentral describes it as "partial 16S ribosomal RNA". It matches the Rfam family "Bacterial small subunit ribosomal RNA", at positions 524 to 776 of the family's 1533-position model. The record is from RNAcentral.